ACGGAGGGAGCUAGCGUUGUUCGGAAUUACUGGGCGUAAAGCGCACGUAGGCGGCUUUGUAAGUCAGAGGUGAAAGCCUGGAGCUCAACUCCAGAACUGCCUUUGAGACUGCAUCGCUUGAAUCCAGGAGAGGUGAGUGGAAUUCCGAGUGUAGAGGUGAAAUUCGUAGAUAUUCGGAAGAACACCAGUGGCGAAGGCGGCUCACUGGACUGGUAUUGACGCUGAGGUGCGAAAGCGUGGGGAGCAAACAG
This 251-nucleotide ribosomal RNA is filed under the name uncultured prokaryote. Its description in RNAcentral is "partial 16S ribosomal RNA". It matches the Rfam family "Bacterial small subunit ribosomal RNA", at positions 525 to 775 of the family's 1533-position model. The record is from RNAcentral.